UGAGAGGCGUUCCAGCAUCUGGCUCCACAGAGGGGUAACACAAGUUGAGGGCUGAAGACUGGAGGAGCUUCUUUCUGCACGGCUGGUAUGAUUUGGCUCCAGGGCGGUUUUUGUGUAUUUUCAUCUCGGCAUCAAAGUAUACGUUGCGUGUGAGAGUUUGUGUGAAGUGUAGAUGUGGAAAGUUUCUGUCCGUGCGAUUGAAGCCUCGUGUUGAAAUGUUUGCGCACCCCGCCGUGUGGUUUCAUCUGCUGGCCCUCCUCCGCCCUCUGGCCGAGGCCUCCAUGGACUCCUGCUACGACGAGGAGGGCGCCCCCGGCCGCUGCUUGCCCAAGUUUGAGAACGUGGCCUUCAAUCGUAGCGUGCAGGCGUCCAACGUGUGCGGCUCGCCACCCGAGGAGUACUGCAAGCAGACGGCGUCCAUGCGCUCGUGCCACACCUGCGACUCGUCGGACCCGGGCUUGAGCCACAGCGCCGCCAUGCUGACGGACUUCCACAGGAGCGACGAGCCGACGUGGUGGCAGAGCCAGUCCAUGCACUUUGCCGUGCAGCAUCCCAAUUCUGUCAAGCUUACACUCCACCUGGGAAAGGCCUUCGAGAUAACCUACGUCCGACUGAAAUUUUACACCAGUCGGCCUGAGAGCUUUGCCAUCUACAAACGCACCGAGGUGGAUGGACCUUGGCUGCCCUAUCAGUUCUACAGCGCCUCUUGCCGGGAGACCUAUGGAAAGGGUGAGAAGGGCUUCCUUCGACAGGGAGAUGAUGAGAGGACGGCUUUAUGCACGGAUGAGUUCAGCGAUAUCUCCCCUCUUACUGGCGGAAACGUGGCCUUCUCCACCCUGGAGGGACGGCCCAGUGCCUACAAUUUUGACCAGAGCCUGGUGCUGCAGGAAUGGGUGACGGCCACCGACCUGCUCAUCUCGCUGGACAGACUGAACACCUUCGGGGACGAGGUCUUUAAGGAUGCCAAAGUACUGCGCUCCUACUUCUACGGCAUCUCCGAUUUCUCCGUGGGUGGCAGAUGCAAGUGUAACGGCCACGCCAGCGAGUGCGUGCAGGCGGAGCACGGCGGAGGCGGCCUGGUCUGUGCCUGCCAGCAUCACACGGCAGGCGACGACUGCCAGAAAUGUCAAGCCUUUUACCAGGACAGACCCUGGGCUCGGGCCACUGGGGACUCGGCCAACGAGUGCUUGCGUUGCAACUGCAGCGGGAGGUCGGACGAGUGCAUGUUGGACAUGGAGCAGUACCGCAGCACGGGCAGUGGCGGGCGCUGCCUCAACUGCCGGGACAACACAGACGGCGCCCACUGCGAGCGGUGCCGGGAGAACCACUACAGGAAGUCGGCCGACGAGCCCUGCCUGCCCUGCGACUGCAACACCAACGGCUCCACCAGUCUCCAGUGUGACAGUGAGGGGCGAUGCUCAUGUGCCGGGGGCGUGACGGGGGACAAGUGUGACACCUGUCACGAUGGCUUCCACUCGCUCGGCCCCGGUGGCUGCAGGCCGUGCGAGUGCGCCCCCGCUGGGAGUGUCAGCGUGUGCUCGCCGCUGGACGGCCGCUGCGGCUGCAAGGCCAACGUGGAGGGAGGGAACUGCGGCAGAUGCAAGCCGGGCUUCUUCAACCUGCAAGCAAUCAACCCAGCUGGCUGCCAGCCGUGUUUCUGCUUGGGCCACUCGCUGGCGUGCUCCUCGUCCAAUCACUUUGUCGCUGUCAACAUCACUUCAGAUUUCACGGAAGAUCAUGACGGCUGGCUGGGCGAGUUCUCCGGGAGCCGUCAUUACCCCCUGCUGUGGAAGGAGGGUGAGGUCUAUCUGCUGCCUCUCUCCGAGGAGGACCUGGGCUUCUACAGAGCCCCCGAGAAAUUCCUGACGCAUCAAGUCCGCAGCUACGGCCAGCUCCUCUCCGUCACCUUCACCUCCGAGACCCGGGAGCUCCUUCCCGACCACGUCACCUUGCUGCUGGAAGGCGCCGGAAUCACACUCGCCGCCGACCUUUCACCCGGGGGGGCGCCGGCGGGCGAGCCGGACACGCUCCCGCCGCGCAUCUCCUUCAUCGUCAGGCUGGAUGAAAGCGAGACGAGCUUCAAGCCCACGUUGUCCGCCUUCGACUUCCAGCGUGUUCUUUCCAACGUGACAGCCCUGCGCAUCAGCAACGCGGGAGGAAUCAACUAUACGUCCCAGCUGGCCGGAGUGCGUCUGACCUCUGCUUUUCCCUCCACUGCCGUUGCCGGCGGCCCGCCUGCCCCGUGGGUGGAAUCUUGUUCCUGCCCCAGCGGCUUUGUCGGCCAGUUCUGCGAGCGAUGCGGACCGGGCUUCACCAGGGAGGUCCCCGGCGGCGGGCCUUUCUCCGCGUGUGCGCCGUGCCGCUGCCACCAGCAUGGAACUUGCCACCCGGAGACCGGCGUUUGCGAGUGCUCGGACUUCACCGCCGGGAGGAGCUGCGAGCGCUGCCUGGAUGGUUACUAUGGCAACGCUCUGACCGGCACCCCAGGUGAUUGCCAGCCUUGCCCUUGCCCCGGCCGCAGCAGCUGUGUUCAGGUGACUGAGACUGCGCAGGUGGUCUGCAUCAACUGCCCUGCAGGACAGACAGGCACGCGCUGCCACAUGUGCGACGACGGCUUCUACGGCGACCCGCUGGGCCAAUCGGGAGUGGAGCGGCCGUGCGCCAAAUGCGACUGCAGCGGCAAUGUGGACGCCAACGCGGUGGGGGUGUGCGACCACCUGACAGGGCGCUGCCUGAAGUGCACGGGACACACCGAGGGCGAGCACUGCCAUCUUUGUCGCCAGGGCUACUACGGCGACGCUCGCAGCGACACGGCCGCACCGAAGUGCAAAGCGUGCAGCUGCAACCCGGCUGGAACCUCCGGCCGUGCACAUGAGUGCCACCCUCAGACAGGAAAUUGCGCCUGCCUCGGUCAUGUGACGGGGCGUGAUUGCAGCCACUGUGAGGAAGGCUUUUUUAACCUCCAACCCGGCAUAGGCUGCGAGAGGUGCACGUGUAACCCCGUUGGCUCGUCGUCCACCGCCUGCCACCCGUUCACAGGCCAGUGCUUGUGCCGCGCCGGCGUGGAGGGGAGGCUGUGUGACUCAUGCCGAGUGGGCUUCUUUGCAUUCUCGUCACGAGGAUGCAGAGCCUGUAACUGUGACCCCAUGGGCGCCGUCGCCAUGCAGUGCCACGCCAACGGAACCUGUCCCUGUCGGCCCGGCUUCACGGGCUACAAGUGUGACAAAUGUGAGCUCAACUUUUUCCACAACAGGGACACGCACCAGUGUGAGGAGUGCCCGCCUUGCUACGGACUGGUGCAAAAACAGGCAGAGAAGCUGAGGAUGCGCGUGGAGGAUGUGGAGAAGCUCCUCGCUCGCUUUGAUUGCCGGGGAAGAUUUGGGAAGCAGCGCCCCCCGCAGAGGUAUCAAGCAGACGGGCUUUACGAAGGCGAGCGCCAAGCGGACGAGGCGCUGCCCAACGCUCUGGAGGAAUUCCUGGCCUUCCAAGAGGCUCGCGAGGCCUUCAUGAAACAAUUUUCCUCACUGGAGGCAUCGACGGGCGCGCUCGUCACCCAUCUGCGACAGAUGACACACGCUUUGAACUGCAGCGUCAGUGCCGCUGAAGACCGGGAGGGGGAGAGCGGAGGGGCGUGUGCAAUGCUGGCGGCCCUGGUGCCUGUCAUCGCAGUGUCACAGAAGCAGCUAGAGCAGGCCACGCUCCACCUGGACGCCAUGGUCGUCCCUUUUGAGGCUGCGUCAGGACCUAACAAAUGGAACAUGAUGGUCAAUGAGUCUCAAGUCCUGAACAAAAGUCACAGAGAAAGUGCGGAGCACAUCGAGGCCGUGGCCGGCAGGGCGCUGGCCGCCUCCAAGCGCACCUUCGGUUUUCUGAUGGACGUCCUGCAGGACAACUCCACCGAGGACUACAUCAGGGAGCUAACUCAGCGGAUAGCACGCAUGCAGGAGCAGAGCCACAGUCUGACCGCCCGGAUCGGCGAGAGCGCGGACCGACACGCGUCUCUGCGGGAGGACGCCGCCGGCUUGGAUCCCGUCCUGAGUAACAUCACAACGUCCUUACGUCAGCUGGAGACCACCCUCGCCAGCCCCCCAGGGGAGCUGGACACAACACAGUCCCUUUUGCAAAAGACCAAAGAACUGGAUCAGCACUUUGAGUCCAAAGACGCCGCCAUCAGCAAGACUAGAAACCACACUCUCGCUCUGGUCGAGUCCUUCCAAGAGAAGCAGGAGGCUGUGAGCGACGUCGCAGAGAUGCAGGCUCGCGCUCACGCUGCAAAGGUCCUGGCCCUGACCUCGGUGGUGGCCGGGAAAGAGGUGGAGUCGGAAGCAAUCAGCCUGCACAGGGAUCUAGACGGCAUGGUUCGCGAGUGGCCUCAUCGACAGGCCCAGACCAAAGCUGCCAUGAAGAAGGAGAGGCCCCUGCAGGAUAAAGUUCUAGCUGCGGUCACCAGGAGGAUCUCUGAGAUAGAAACCUUACUAGAACCUGCUCUGGAAAACACCAGCCUGGCCAGGAACGCCUCAAGGGAAGCAGAAGGCGCUGCAAACACCGUGGCCGAGGAAUCCAAAGGCGUCCUGACGCAGGCCAAGCACACGAGGACGGCCUGCGCCCACCUCAGCUCCCACCUUCAAUCCGCCGUGCAGCGUCUGGCCGAGCAGGCCGCGCUAACCGAGAGGGCAAACUCUCUGGCGCCCUCAGAGACGGCGCCCCCUCUGGCUGGCGUGAGGGACGACAUGGAGGCGGCCAAGCAGCAAUUGGAGGCCUACUCUCUCACACUGACCGAGCUCGUCAGCAAAAUCGAUGUGGGCGUGCCGCUGGAGCGCUUCGACCGCAUCCUGAACGAGACGGCGCGUCGCCUGAGCAUGCUCCGUGGCGGCGUGCAGAGCCCCGUGCUGGCCACCAAGAUCCUCAAGCUGCGCUCGGCGGCCGAGGAGCAACAAAGCCGACUGUCUGUGCUGGAGCAGGACUUGCAGGAGAUCAAAGAGGAGAGAGACAGUCUCAGGGACAUUUCCUUAAACUUGCCUAAGUCUUGCCCGCAGGCCAGCGGGGUGGGACGAGGCUAACUCCUGGAGAUGACCCGCUUCCCAAAAUCACUACCGUCCUGCCAUAUUUGUCUCCUUCUUGCCCGCAGCGUGAGGCUAAUUUGGAUGUCUCCUUUCCACUCCAGCUGCUUUUCAUCAACAGGCCUUAAUUGACAAUUAGUGCUGUGGACCUCAGCAGGACAACAACACGCUUCUUCAUUGCUGUCACACUUUAUGAUGCUCACCAGCCAAAAUGUUGACUCUCCCAGUCAUUGCACGCUCGUCUACAGACGUGCCGGGACAUUCCAAAUCCAGUCGCUUCCUCGCGAGCAGCUUUAAGGGCCACGGUUUGGUGCGAGGGCUGCGGGUUGCCCAUGCCUCUUAGGUCAUACCUUGGCUGCAGGAGUGCUACCCAGCGAGCUCAAGCAAACGUUGAACAUUUCGGCAAGAUAUUUCAAUAGAGUAGUCAGUGUGCAGCUUGUAAAGCAGCGUAGACUUGCUAUGACUCAGCUGUUAGUGCCUGAACAUGUCCAAAUCGUGUCCUUGGUGUAACUGCUUAGUGUUGAGCACCACUGCUCCUCGGUGCUGGCAGCACUCGUGCGCGCUACCACCCCCGAGUGAUUCUGUAGGCAAGACACAGUUAUCUUUUUAGUCAAUUGUGUUGCCAGAUAUUUACACAAUAACGGCUGUGUGUUGACUCAUUUUCAGCGGAUAGUAAAUCCAUACCGCUAUACAGGCUGUACACUGACUACUCUAAAGUAUAUCCACGUUUCAUUGACUGCCACCGAGGGUCAGAUGGGGUGCUUUUUUUCUGCUUCACGAUGUCAUAAUACAUGUUGGAAUUCAUCUUUCCCCUCGAUGAACCGCAGCUCGCCCAGUGCUGGCAGCACUCGUGCACACUACCACACAAUGCUUUUCUGUAGGCAAGGCUUCAGUUAUCCUUCUAGUGACUUGUGUUGCCAGAUAUUUACACAAUAAUGGCGCUGUCUUGGCUCAUUUUCAGUGGAAGGCAAAUCUGUACUGCCACACAAGCUGUACACUGACUACCCUAAGCUAUAUCUAAGUUUCAUUGGUAGCCACCAAGGGUAGGGUGUUAUUCAAAAUCAAGGGGGUGCUUUAACAUCCACGAAAGACACAGCAAGAAUAAGUGUAUUAUACAGUCAAUUUUAAGGAGUUUUUCACUUUGAAUCCUUUUUUUUUUUGUUCAAAUUAAGAAUGUUUUCUCUCUGCUGCGCUCCAAUUAGCUGUGUAGGGAAUUGGUCGCGUCGGCAAGUAAAAAAAAAACAAAACACCUUACCCCGCUGCGCCUCCCUUCUCGCUAAAUAGCGACAAUCUUUUCAAAGAUCAGACAUUUAUGGCCCAAAAACACAUUUCCAACUCUGAGUUUGCGUGUAUUAAAAAAAAGAAAAGGAAAACGCAAGAAGCUGUCAUCUUUUGUUGCUGCGCGGCGCAGAUUAAACAGGCCCAUCGCGCAGGUAAAGAUAAAUGUCAGACCAAUUCCAAACAUGUCAGAGAUGACAGGUUAAAAAAAUAAAAUAAAAAAACAAACACGCACACAGAGGGUGCUCUUUGAAAUGGUGCAAGCAUAUGCAAAUACCCGUGUCGGCGUGUAUUGUCAUUUGUAGCGCGUGCUGUCAGCUGCUUUGCUUCUCGUGACGCUAACAAACAUGAAAACAAAAAACAACUUUUUGCUGCACAGUCGUCCCUCGCUCUGUCGCAGUUCGAACAUCGUUCCCUCACUCUAUUGCGGUUUUUCAAAAAUUAAUUAGUAAAUGAUUGCUGUUUCGUGGUUGACGAUGGCCUAUUAUUAGUCCAAAAAAUGCAUAUUUAAGCAAAUCGUACGUAUUCGUGGCCUAAAUUACCGUAUUUUCCGGACUGUAAGUUGCACUUUUUUCAUGGUUUGGCUGGUCCUGUGACUUAUACUCCGGAGCGACUUAUAUAUGUUUUUUUUCCACACUGACAGCCAUGAGAGGGCGCUCUAGUCUUGUCUGCGACUCCUAUCACUCCUGUACCACUGAACAUGUACAAUGUAAACAAAUGCCCCCAAAAAGAAAAUCAUGGUCUGCAGAUCACAAGCUGCAAGUAAACUAGUUAAACUAGUUGUGUUGUUAUGGCUAUAGUUAUCUGAAUAACUGCUACUAUGUUACGUUAACAUAUCACCUGAGCGCUGUCGUAAAAAGUAGCUAAAGGAGGAAGUGACGUCGUCCGUCUUGUGUUCCGGGUACGCAUUGCGCAGUGACACUCAUGUGCAUAAGUCUGUCGCCUUCCGCUUUUCAAGACUUAAGAGAAGUGGAAUUACUUCUGCGAGUCAUUACGGACUAUAAGACAUCAAAAUGUGAGGAGAAUGUUGACUGGGGUGAGCCAUGUCUGUCGCAAUGUUCAGAUAUUAUGUUGGUUUGUCGUCAAAGCUCACUUCUGGUCACGUGACGGCGACGAGUCUGUGACGUCAUAGUUUUUUUCUUGCCUGUAUACACUGCAAUGACACCAACGUUCUCAGGUUUUUCCACUCUGGAAAAACUACCGUUUCAGAUCACCCAUUAGUUUGUCUGCAGUAUGUGUUGUUGUCCAUGUUUCCAUGUUAUUGUGUGCAUGUUUGUGUGUGUGUAGGAUAGCGGCAUCAAGUGUACAGCUGGCGGGCGGUAAAGGAGUUAACGUGUGUGUGUAACCUGAUUGAGUCAGCAUUGCGUUGCAUUUAUCACACACGUCGCCAUGGAGAACACACACUCUGAGAUAUUUCCCAUGUGGGGCCGCUUGUCAAGCAGAUACAGAUGAGUUCUCGCAGGCAGCAAUGGAGACGUAACAGAUGAGGUUGACGCAAAAUAAAGAGCAGAUAUUUGGGAGCGGCCGACGUGAUGGGAGUUCCAGGACUGCUGGCGUUGCGUCAGGACAGAGAAACAACACAUGCAACACAAUCAUUCAUUUCUGUCAGGCUGUAGAAACACACGAUUGAAUGGAGGAUGACGCAGAUCGACACUGAUAUCGCUAUCAUUGUUCUCACUUCAUUCAAACGCUUUGAGUUAAUUAGCCAAGUGAAUUGUUUGCAGCGUGUCACCCAUUUCUCUACAGAGUUGCCCGUUUCAGCAUGCAACUUAUUUUAAAGCCAUUCCCGCCUUUGAAGUGAAGAGCGGAUGUCAUUAGUUUCGUUCAUCCUUAUUGAACGCACUUAAUUUUUUUCCUCCCAGGGUUGCGUCAGGAAGCUUUGUAGCAUUUGGCCAAUCAACUAAACGGAAGGCUGUUUAUUUAGUGUCUUUGUUAUGCAACAAACAGCCGGAUGGAUGCAGUAUGAGCAAGAGCCUGCACGAGGCAACGUGUCACCUUGCUUCUGAGACUCGAUGCUGCCCCCGUGUGGUGCGUUGGAGACAGCCGUAAAAAUGAUAACCAAAAUAUUACAAACACUAGUCGGUAUGAUGCAGUGCCGCAGUAACAAAUAUUAUACAGUAGGGGUGUCCAAACUUUUUCCAGCGAGAGCCACAGUCAGUUGCUGCUUAUAUAUUUAUAACUUACAAAUAUGUUUUAUAUAUUUAUACACACACACAUAUAUAGAUAUAUUUUUUUCAAUUUUGUAAAAAAAAAAAAAAAAGGCAGAAAAACAUUGAUCUACUGUUUAUAAUUUAGAUUUCAUUGUAAUUUGUGCACACCUGGAGGUAAGAAGGACUUGAAUAAAUUAGGAUUUCACCAACUGUACCUGCUGAUUUGUUUAAUGAAAUAUCAUGACAUCACGACUACCACAUCACUACUAUCAGGGGAAACAGAGUAUAGAGCGGGGGAGCCACCUGCUGUGGCCCAGCAAGGUGCAGUAUAGCACACACUCCGAGCAACCAGUGUGCUGCUACGGAGGUCUCUGGCAAACCUUUUGCACUUGUCAAACACCGCGGCGCUGGAGUUUCAGGUGGCUGAUGAGGUUUUAUUGUGUGCGCGAUUGGGUUUUUUCCCCUCAUUGCGGAGCGUUUGGUACAACGUCCUUCCCCCGAAAGUGAGUGAGUGUUUACAAGUGAGCUCAGGGGAAGCUACGACAGGCCAUUAACGUCACAGGAGCGCUUGAUUUCCCACCUGCACAGCACGGCUAAUCUCGCCUAAUUGGAGCGUUUAUUAAAUUAUUGGUUAUCAGACCUAUUUUUAAUGUUGUCACAUUUGUCAGUGUGACGUCAUUCUCUUUUCAACGUGAAAUCCACAACAUUUGCGCUAAUACUUCACAAAUGAAACUCAAUUGUAACCAGAUGUUCCUGGUCAUGUGACAUGAUUGUUAACGGCCACUUGUUACCAGGCGGAAGUGCUGACUUCACAGUAGAUAUGCUAAUAGUGGCUGUACAUCAGGAGGAACUGCGUGAACUCGCGAGUCUGAUAAUUCCCCUAAACGUCACAAGUGGACGCGAGCGACUCCACAAUUAAUGUUGACACCUUGCAAGAACCUCCUGACAUCAGCAGGUCAUUAAACACGAGGAGGACGGGGCUGACUCGGAGCUGUAAUGCAUGCUGAGUCAUGGCAGGCGUUUGUCCACAGCCGUCAUUACUUCCAUGCGCUCCUCCAUCUUGGAUAAGGAGAGGCGGCCGUGAUGAAAAUGGCCCACAAAUGUAAAUGAAAGGCGCAUUCGUCACCGGCCCAACGAGCCCAGCGUGUGAUGAAACAUAACUCAGGUGCGCCAACUUCAAGCCCCCCUCCCUCCGCAUCAAAUAUCACCAUCAUGCCUGGCAAAGACGCCAUGAUGUCAAUGAGCCAUGACAGAAAGACUGGCACAUAUAAGAGAAAUGUCUGUAAUCUCACCUUUUAUUAGCGCCUCUCUUCCUCCCUGGGGAGCUCGUGCAGCCUCAAUAAGUCACUUUCCAGGAAAAUACAACACCCUCAAGCUCAACAACAAAGUCAUCCUUUGUUUUAAAGCACCUUCUUCUUACUAUCUUCCGCUUACUGUACACCUGUAUUCACCUUUUUACCUUGAUUACCUCUACCCUUAAUACCUUUAUUUUGCAUUAUUAUCACCUAUGGUCACAUUUAUUUACCUUUAUUACCUUUAUUUUGCAUUAUUAUUACCUAUGGUCACAUUUAUUUACCACUAUCUUUAUUAUCUGUAAUCACCUUUAUUUACUGUUAUUACCUUAACCUUUAUUUAGCAUCAUCACAUUUAUUUACCUGUAUUUGCCAUAAUACUUUGUUUUGGUGGGGUUGUGUCCAAGCCCGUUAAUUAAAAUGCGCACAUUUAUGUUAGGAUACAGUUUUUGAGCAUGUAAAAGCUUGCAAAAAAACCCAAAUGAUUUAUCUGCUAUUGAAGUUUAAAAUGCAGUUGUCUGCGUCAGACAGUGACAACAGAAAGGGAUCCAGGACGCUUCCCUGUGGAAUUCCGUGGCUCACAGGCAUGAACGCCUAGGUCCACUUGGGUCAUAAUUCAAA
RNA transcript from Dunckerocampus dactyliophorus (ringed pipefish), 10401 nucleotides. It is a transcript of the gene named laminin, gamma 3, with no coding region annotated. The record is from RefSeq and is a predicted model, not a curated record. NCBI's taxonomy places the organism in Eukaryota, Metazoa, Chordata, Actinopteri, Syngnathiformes, Syngnathidae. The transcript is spliced from 29 exons.